GUUUUAAUAGUUUAAAUAUAAAACAAUGAUCUUGUAAAUCAUAAAUGAAUAUAUCUCUUAAAACU
RNAcentral lists this transfer RNA (65 nucleotides) under Coridius chinensis. RNAcentral describes it as "tRNA-Thr". Lineage: Eukaryota; Metazoa; Arthropoda; Insecta; Hemiptera; Dinidoridae. The record is from RNAcentral.